RNAcentral lists this ribosomal RNA (644 nucleotides) under uncultured bacterium. RNAcentral's name for it is "bacterial SSU rRNA". It matches the Rfam family "Bacterial small subunit ribosomal RNA", at positions 202 to 841 of the family's 1533-position model. The record is from RNAcentral.
CAAAGGGAGCAAUCCCGGCCACGGAUGGGCAUGCGGCGCAUUAGCUAGUCGGCGGGGUAACGGCCCACCGAGGCGACGAUGCGUAGGGGUUCUGAGAGGAAGGCCCCCCACACUGGUACUGAGACACGGACCAGACUCCUACGGGAGGCAGCAGUGAGGAAUAUUGGUCAAUGGGCGCGAGCCUGAACCAGCCAAGUCGCGUGAGGGAGGACGGCCCUACGGGUUGUAAACCUCUUUUGCCGGGGAGCAACGGGCGCCACGUGUGGCGUCACUGAGAGUACCCGGAGAAAAAGCAUCGGCUAACUCCGUGCCAGCAGCCGCGGUAAUACGGAGGAUGCGAGCGUUAUUCGGAUUUAUUGGGUUUAAAGGGUGCGUAGGCGGAUCGUUAAGUCAGUGGUCAAAUUGAGGGGCUCAACCCCUUCCCGCCAUUGAAACUGGCGCUCUUGAGUGGAAGAGAAGUAUGCGGAAUGCGUGGUGUAGCGGUGAAAUGCAUAGAUAUCACGCAGAACCCCGAUUGCGAAGGCAGCAUGCCGGCUUCCGACUGACGCUGAAGCACGAAAGCGUGGGGAUCGAACAGGAUUAGAUACCCUGGUAGUCCACGCGGUAAACGAUGAGCGCUAGGUGUCCGGGGGGAAUGGCCCCUG